GAUUUUACAUGUCCACCUGUCACAAUGGAUUCAUCGAAAUGCUGGAACCAGCCGACGAGGAGCCUGAUGAGGAAAGUGACUCAGAGCCCGGUUUAACCGCUGCUGUAUACAUCCAGGAUGCAUUGCAAGAUUUCUUAGAAUUUCAAGAGGAACUUGCAGCACGUCGUAUGAGGCGCAUGUUCCGUCGCAAUCGAGGAAACUCUUCCUCACUAAGGUUACCGCAUUCAACUUGGAGAGACUCAAAUAUGUCUGGCUCAAACAUGGCUCCAUUGUCUCGAGGGAGAACGUCAUCCUCAACCAGUGGAGGCUCUGGUGGACUUCGUCCUAGAAGGAGUCGUAGACAAGCUUUUAAACGAACCAAGAAACAGAGCCCAUCGAAGCUCUAG
This 386-nucleotide long non-coding RNA is filed under the name Bemisia tabaci. RNAcentral describes it as "lncRNA ENSSWEETPG002237". The record is from RNAcentral. Lineage: Eukaryota; Metazoa; Arthropoda; Insecta; Hemiptera; Aleyrodidae.